GAAAAAAGAAAAGACUUUAUCAUCCCUACUAUUUUCAUUAGUCCCAUCUACAUCUUUUUCAUUUUACCUCAGGGAAAAAAUCCCUUGUGUGUGUCAUCUGUUUCCUGCCUGGGCCCUGCCUCAUACAAGCAGAGCAAGGAGCUCUCCUAGAACUAGAGAAGAGAUAGUGCCAUUUCCAUUGAAUCUGGGCUUUUCACCCCCUCAGUUCAAAAUUAACAGACACCAGGAGGCAUUGACCAUGGAGUGGGACAUCUGGCCUCAUCCCUAACCUUCAACACCCGCUUCCUGUGCACUAGAACAGAUAGCGAGAGGAAUCUUAAGGUAAACUCCCGAAAUGCAAGGAAUUGUUACAUCUGGGUUAAAGGGAACUGACUUGU
RNAcentral lists this long non-coding RNA (377 nucleotides) under Fukomys damarensis (Damara mole-rat). RNAcentral's name for it is "lncRNA (ENSFDAG00000029450.1)". The record is from RNAcentral. Lineage: Eukaryota; Metazoa; Chordata; Mammalia; Rodentia; Bathyergidae.